Molecule: non-coding RNA, 600 nt
Organism: Dermacentor albipictus
Lineage: Eukaryota; Metazoa; Arthropoda; Arachnida; Ixodida; Ixodidae
Source: RefSeq, a predicted model, not a curated record
AGUGCGGAAAUGUGCCCGUUCACACGGAUCCAAAGUAGAAGAAGUCAUCUGGGCAUCAUUGCGUCGUGUUUGGAUGCCAAAACAACCAGCGGAAAAGGAGCAGGUCGCUUAGCGCUGUUUGCGAAGAGCACAACACACGUAGGGAAUCGUGCCGGUGCGGUGUUUUCAGCCUGCGCCGAUUUCCAUCCGCAACGAAGAAUGCCAAGCUGUGCCACCGGUGGAUAGCUGCAGUGAAUAGGAAGAACUACCAACCCAGUGAAAAUGCACGAGUUUGCUCCGAGCACUUUCUGGGCAACAAGCCUACAGAGCAGAAUCCCGCGCCGGUGCUUCGCCUUGGCUAUAACAAAAAGGCAAGCCUUUUCGUGUUUUCAUUCAGGCAGAGCUCCCGACGGUUAAGCGGAACAGUUGAGUUUGCGGUUAGCGAUACUUGCAGCUGGUGCACGGAAUGACCAUUAAGCGUGAACGACAAGUUGUAGGCCUUGCUGGUGAUGAAGGGCAGGCGUCUGCUAACCAGGCAGUCAAACGACCUCGCCAGUUGGUUGCCAAACGCGGCCAACCCAGUAGAGACCAUGACAAACAAGACCAAACUGAAAGUGCAGA